RNAcentral lists this ribosomal RNA (117 nucleotides) under Oscillospiraceae bacterium. The record is from RNAcentral. Lineage: Bacteria; Bacillati; Bacillota; Clostridia; Eubacteriales; Oscillospiraceae.
GUUGGCGUCGAUAACGGCGAGGGUACACCCGUUCCCAUUCCGAACACGGAAGUUAAGCUCGCUCGUGCCGACGAUACUUGGCGGGCGACCGCCCGGCAAAAUAGGUAGUCGCCAACA